GAAGCAUGGCGACAUGCGGAGCUGAGUGAUACUAAUCGGUCGAGGCCUUGUUCUA
This 55-nucleotide ribosomal RNA is filed under the name Exiguobacterium sp. KRL4. Its description in RNAcentral is "partial 23S ribosomal RNA". Lineage: Bacteria; Bacillati; Bacillota; Bacilli; Caryophanales. The record is from RNAcentral.